UACGGAGGGGGCUAGCGUUGUUCGGAAUUACUGGGCGUAAAGCGCACGUAGGCGGCUUUGUAAGUUAGAGGUGAAAGCCCAGGGCUCAACCCUGGAAUUGCCUUUAAGACUGCAUCGCUUGAAUCAUGGAGAGGUGAGUGGAAUUCCGAGUGUAGAGGUGAAAUUCGUAGAUAUUCGGAAGAACACCAGUGGCGAAGGCGACUCACUGGACAUGUAUUGACGCUGAGGUGCGAAAGCGCGGGGAGCAAACAGG
This 253-nucleotide ribosomal RNA is filed under the name uncultured bacterium. RNAcentral's name for it is "partial 16S ribosomal RNA". It matches the Rfam family "Bacterial small subunit ribosomal RNA", at positions 524 to 776 of the family's 1533-position model. The record is from RNAcentral.